CUUACCCUACCCUCUGAUUUACAAUAUUGAAAAUUAAUUAUGAAUUAUUACCAUUUACUGCCCAAAAUUCACGAAUUUAGGUCUGUUGUUGUUGGUUGUCACAAGUAAUUUUAUUACAAUACAAAUAAUUCUAUAAAAGAUAUGGAUUUUAUAUCUUACCUUUCUUUCUUGAAACAUUUUUUUGAAAAAUAGUAAAAUUUUAUUAUUAUUUUAUAGAACUAUUUGUAUUGUAAUAAUACAACGUGUGAGAAGGGUAUGAUAACAAUAUUUGAAUUAGAGAAAUGUUAACAAGUACUAUUCAUCUAAAACUAAUAGCGUAUUCGACUGGCUGCACCAGUGCGAAUUAAUUCGAAUUUUUGUCGAAUCACAGCAGUGCUAAAACGCUCCAGCACCGAACAAGAGCUAUUCAGUCAAAUGCACUAUUAUUGUAAUGAUGAUCAUACUUCAAGAGAAUGGCAACCUAUAGAAUUCCAUAAAAUAUAAAUUGCUCAUUUUGUGAGAAACGUGAAAAGUAACGAUCCUGAGAGCCCUUCAUUUAACUCAAAGUUUUUUCACAGGAGUAUAAGAAAAUGGAUAAUUACACAAGAAUGAAAUGAAAUGACGAGCGGUCAUUCAACCCAAUCAGCUGCUGUAAAUUUUUUCGAAUCCGUUUACGAGUGUUUGGAUAGGAACCUGUCCGUGGCAGGUCUAUUUUUUGACUUAUCUUCGGCUUUUGAUACACUUUCUUUCGAGUUCAUACUCGAAAAGUGCUAUAAUUUGGGCUUUAGGGGCGUAUUCCUGGACUGGUUGCAUAGUUACCUAAAUGAGAGAACUAUGUCUGUUAAAGUAGGAUCUACUUAUUCUGAAAAUCACGAUAUUGGUCUUGGAGUUCCUCAGGGAUCCGUGCUAGGACCCCUUUUAUUUAUAUUAUUUAUAAAUGAUUUGCCUAUAAAAUGAGCUUCUUUCUUAAUAACGCUAUUUGCUGAUGAUGCGUCUGUGGUGGUUUCUGGCGGGAAUCCUGAGGAACUUCGGAGUACCUGUGAAUUUAUUAUGUGGGAAUUUGUAAACUGGUGCCGCUCAAACAAUUUGAUGGUGAACGUUGAUAAAACUGUAUGCGUUUACUUCUCUAUAAAAAAUAAUGAAGUUAGUACCUUUAGUUUGAAAUGUGGGGAUAACACUAUCACAACAUCAGAAACAACUAAAUUUCUUGGAAUCCAUGUGGACAGAAAUUUAAGAUGGACUACUCAUAUUGACGUGUUAUGUAAAAAAUUAAACAGUUCAGUGUUUGCAAUCGCUAGAAUUAGGAAUGUUUUACCUAGGUCCUCUGUAAUGAGUGUAUACUACAGCCUGGUAUAUAGCCAUCUGUCUUAUAACAUUUUGCUCUGGGGAAGUAGCCCUGACUUCUCCAGAGUUUUUGUAGCUCAGAAACGAGUAUUACGUACAAUAUUCAACCUCAAUAUGUUAGCGUCUUGUAAGCCAGUCUUUAUUGGGAAUGGAAUCUUAACCCUACCCUCGAUAUACAUUUUCAAAUGCUUACUAUACGCAAAGGAAAAUGAAGACAAAUGGAUGAAAUUAUCAAGUCAUCAUAAUUAUGUAACUAGAAAUACGCAAAUUUUUCUAUUACCUAAACGUAGGACCCAUAAAUUUGAAUGCUCUCCAUUGUACCGAAGUAUUAAGUUAUACAAUCAUUUGCCACCAUCUGUGAAGUCUUUGAAUUUAAAAUUGUUCAAAAAAGAAAUCAAGAACCUCCUCUUAAAAAAAGGUUUCUAUUCUGUAAAUGAGUAUUUAUGUGACUCCUUAGUUGUUUAGUUUUCUUAUUGUGACCUGUCCUAUACACCAUGUAGUGUCUUAAAGGAUUAAAUAAAAUUAUUAUUAUUAUUAUCAUAAGAGCUUCCCCUAAAAUUUGACAUACUAAGGAUAAAAUAAUUACAAGAUUAGCAGAGCUAUAAUUUUGCUUUACUUUGGUCCCCCUAAAAAAAAUAAGGCCACCCCUGUUUUCCAAAGCUGGCAUCGCCACUGGAUGUGACAACUCAAUGCCAUAUGAUAAAUAAAUAAUAUAUAAGUACAA
Harmonia axyridis is the source of this 2047-nucleotide long non-coding RNA. RefSeq lists it as uncharacterized. The transcript has 2 exons. The record is from RefSeq and is a predicted model, not a curated record. Lineage: Eukaryota; Metazoa; Arthropoda; Insecta; Coleoptera; Coccinellidae.